This 468-nucleotide ribosomal RNA is filed under the name uncultured bacterium. RNAcentral describes it as "partial 16S ribosomal RNA". It matches the Rfam family "Bacterial small subunit ribosomal RNA", at positions 28 to 507 of the family's 1533-position model. The record is from RNAcentral.
GACGAACGCUGGCGGCGUGCUUAACACAUGCAAGUCGAACGGAAAGGCCCUGCUUUUGUGGGGUGCUCGAGUGGCGAACGGGUGAGUAACACGUGAGUAACCUGCCCUUGACUUUGGGGUAACUUCAGGAAACUGGGGCUAAUACCGGAUAGGAGCUCCUGCUGCGUGGAGGGGGUUGGAAAUUUGCGGCGGUUGGGGAUGGACUCGCGGCUUAUCAGCUUGUUGGUGGGGUAGUGGCUUACCAAGGCUUUGACGGGUAGCCGGCCUGAGAGGGUGACCGGCCACAUUGGGACUGAGAUACGGCCCAGACUCCUACGGGAGGCAGCAGUGGGGAAUAUUGCACAAUGGGCGGAAGCCUGAUGCAGCAACGCCGCGUGCGGGAUGACGGCCUUCGGGUUGUAAACCGCUUUCGCCUGUGACGAAGCGUGAGUGACGGUAAUGGGUAAAGAAGCACCGGCUAACUACGUG